UUACAUUGUAACGACAGACCUAUGAUCCCAGCCAGUAGGAGAACACACAGCAGCCCCAGACACACUGCAGCAACUCCAGAGGGUCUCUUCCACCACUGAACAUGUACUGAAUAACACAUUAUUAAACAUCUUUGGUAAUGUGUUUUACUGUAUUAUCCAGGAUUGGGACAAAUACAUCUGUAGUACUACAGGGUAAUCUCAUGUGUUUAAUGUAUUGUGUGUGUCAUUUAUUUGCAUUUGCGUGUGAGUGUGUGUGUGUGUGUGUGUGUGUUACCUGAGUGCUGGUCUCCUGGUCCAUUAUUAGGAGCAGUGUCUGCUGUCUCUUCUCUCUUUGUGCUGGUCUCACCGUCUCUCAGGGUGUCUGCACUGACAUAGAUAUCCACAAUCCUCUCCUUCAUCUCACCUCUGUUAAACUUGACCUUCUUUGUCAUAUCUGGCACAGCAUAGAUGUCCUCAGACAUCUCCAAUAACUUAAUGUGCUUUCUGUCUGUACUCAGGUUCUGGUGCUAUCGUUGCCCCUUUGUCUGUGUCUGUCUCUGCUCUGAGUCUGUGUCUGUAUCUGUCUCUGUCUCUGCUCUGAGUCUGUGUCUGUGUAUGUCUCUGCUCUGAGUCUGUGUCUGUGUAUGUCUCUGCUCUGAGUCUGUGUCUGUGUCUGUCUCUGCUCUGUGUCUGUGUCUGUGUCUGUCUCUGACUCUGUUCUGUGUCUGUGUCUGUCUCUGCUCUGUGUCUGUGUCUGUCUCUGCUCUGAGUCUGUGUCUGUGUAUGUCUCUGCUCUGAGUCUGUGUCUGUGUAUGUCUCUGCUCUGAGUCUGUGUCUGUGUCUGUCUCUGCUCUGUGUCUGUGUCUGUCUCUGCUCUGAGUCUGCGACUAACUGCUGAUGAUGUCAUCCUCCUAAUAAAAGGGAAAUGUAGAAAGAGGAAGAUAAUACAAGUGUAACAUGGUGGUUGAGGUUGGGAGAUUUUCUGCACCAGUUUAUCUUUAUAGAUGAUUCCUGAGGACAGUGGACUUA
Molecule: long non-coding RNA, 1008 nt
Organism: Oncorhynchus tshawytscha (Chinook salmon)
Lineage: Eukaryota; Metazoa; Chordata; Actinopteri; Salmoniformes; Salmonidae
Source: Ensembl